GACGAACGCUGGCGGCGUGCCUAAUACAUGCAAGUCGAACGAACCGCGACUAAGUGCUUGCACUAAGUCAAGGUGAGUGGCGAACGGGUGAGUAACACGUGGGUAACCUGCCUCAUAGUGGGGGAUAACAGUCGGAAACGACUGCUAAUACCGCAUAGGACAUAGGAUCACAUGAUCCAGUGAGGAAAGGUGGCGCAAGCUAUCGCUAAGAGAUGGACCCGCGGUGCAUUAGCUAGUUGGUAGGGUAAAGGCCUACCAAGGCGAUGAUGCAUAGCCGACCUGAGAGGGUGGUCGGCCACAUUGGGACUGAGACACGGCCCAAACUCCUACGGGAGGCAGCAGUAGGGAAUCUUCCGCAAUGGACGCAAGUCUGACGGAGCAACGCCGCGUGAGUGAAGAAGGGCUUCGGAUCGUAAAGCUCUGUUGUUAGAGAAGAACAGCGCAUAGAGUAACUGCUAUGCGUGUGACGGUAUCUAACCAGAAAGCCACGGCUAACUACGUGC
Molecule: ribosomal RNA, 503 nt
Filed under: uncultured bacterium
Lineage: Bacteria
Description: partial 16S ribosomal RNA
Rfam family: Bacterial small subunit ribosomal RNA
Source: RNAcentral